RNAcentral lists this ribosomal RNA (946 nucleotides) under Bacillus pumilus. RNAcentral describes it as "bacterial SSU rRNA". It matches the Rfam family "Bacterial small subunit ribosomal RNA", at positions 61 to 999 of the family's 1533-position model. Lineage: Bacteria; Bacillati; Bacillota; Bacilli; Caryophanales; Bacillaceae. The record is from RNAcentral.
GUCGAGCGGACAGAAGGGAGCUUGCUCCCGGAUGUUAGCGGCGGACGGGUGAGUAACACGUGGGUAACCUGCCUGUAAGACUGGGAUAACUCCGGGAAACCGGAGCUAAUACCGGAUAGUUCCUUGAACCGCAUGGUUCAAGGAUGAAAGACGGUUUCGGCUGUCACUUACAGAUGGACCCGCGGCGCAUUAGCUAGUUGGUGAGGUAACGGCUCACCAAGGCGACGAUGCGUAGCCGACCUGAGAGGGUGAUCGGCCACACUGGGACUGAGACACGGCCCAGACUCCUACGGGAGGCAGCAGUAGGGAAUCUUCCGCAAUGGACGAAAGUCUGACGGAGCAACGCCGCGUGAGUGAUGAAGGUUUUCGGAUCGUAAAGCUCUGUUGUUAGGGAAGAACAAGUGCAAGAGUAACUGCUUGCACCUUGACGGUACCUAACCAGAAAGCCACGGCUAACUACGUGCCAGCAGCCGCGGUAAUACGUAGGUGGCAAGCGUUGUCCGGAAUUAUUGGGCGUAAAGGGCUCGCAGGCGGUUUCUUAAGUCUGAUGUGAAAGCCCCCGGCUCAACCGGGGAGGGUCAUUGGAAACUGGGAAACUUGAGUGCAGAAGAGGAGAGUGGAAUUCCACGUGUAGCGGUGAAAUGCGUAGAGAUGUGGAGGAACACCAGUGGCGAAGGCGACUCUCUGGUCUGUAACUGACGCUGAGGAGCGAAAGCGUGGGGAGCGAACAGGAUUAGAUACCCUGGUAGUCCACGCCGUAAACGAUGAGUGCUAAGUGUUAGGGGGUUUCCGCCCCUUAGUGCUGCAGCUAACGCAUUAAGCACUCCGCCUGGGGGAGUACGGUCGCCAAGACUGAAACUCAGAUUGACGGGGGCCGCCAAGCGGGGAGCAUGUGGUUUAUUCGAACACCGAAAACCUUACCAGGCUUGAAUCCUCUGACAACCCU